This 1071-nucleotide long non-coding RNA is filed under the name Equus caballus (horse). Its description in RNAcentral is "lncRNA (ENSECAG00000055831.1)". Lineage: Eukaryota; Metazoa; Chordata; Mammalia; Perissodactyla; Equidae. The record is from RNAcentral.
CACCCCGGUAACAUUGUUUCUAUGAAAAACGUUCUCCAGAUUUCAAAUAAAAGACAAAAGGAAGUUUAGAACACCGUCGUGGAGAAGAAGGGUGUGCUCAACCCCACAAAUCCCGCUUUCCACUUUGAAAUCGAAGCUAUGCAAUUAACCCAUUCAUUGAAGGGUCCAAGUCCCUGGGACAUACACGUCACAGACAGGCUGUUCCUGACCCUCUGGGCAUCAGCAUUUAAAGAAGAGUCUUAACUGGUCCUAAGCCUCCUUUCACUCUGUAAUAAAACCCAGGGCCUCUUACUUGAAAUCCAGAAGUCUUCACAACGUGCAUGGCCCCGUGGUAUUACCGACAGAUGGCUGCUAAAAUCCCAAUGAGCUUGGGUUUCCUAAGGAGAAGAACUUGGCCUGGUCAGAAUUAUCACCAAAUACAUCACCAAUUGGCUUUCAAAAAGCAAACAAUAUGCAAAGGAUGUCACGAGGAAAGUGAAAUGACAACCCACAGAAUGGAGAAAAGGGCUCAUCAUCACCUCUGCGGAGGGCCGAGGAGACCAGGAGCAGGAACUAGAAUGGAUCUGUCUACAAGGCUCGCAGCUCCUGGCCCAGGAGGAGAGCGCUCGGCUGGAGGCAGCCACUGCAGUGGCAGCUUCUUUCUGCAGGAUAUCCCGUCUUCUCUGUGGCCACAGAAAACUGGGUUUGGCGUUUUUAAGGAAAAGCAACUGAAUCUCUGUAGCUGAACCUCCCGACCACUCCCCGCCCAUUCCAAGCCCAGAUUGGGCCCCUCAGUCCACUGUCUCCCAACCACAUAUUUGCUCACACACCUGUGUACUCACCUGUAUACUAAUCCAGUGGCACUUAAUAAAAUCAUGCUCCAUGGGGACAGAAGCUGGAAUUAAAUAAUGCAGCCGUCUUAUUUUUUUUUUUAAAGCAAAGACACUCCCCAAUCCCUUUUAUUUCUCUUCCUUCACGAAGUCUAAGUGACCCCGGCCAGAAAAUCUGCGGAAUCUUUCAUAACACACUUCAGUUUUGCUGGGCUCCAAAAUGCUAGGAUCCCGCUUGCCUCCAACUACCUCGAAAUCUCCC